RNAcentral lists this ribosomal RNA (498 nucleotides) under uncultured bacterium. RNAcentral describes it as "partial 16S ribosomal RNA". It matches the Rfam family "Bacterial small subunit ribosomal RNA", at positions 30 to 523 of the family's 1533-position model. The record is from RNAcentral.
AUUGAACGCUGGCGGCAUGCCUUACACAUGCAAGUCGAACGGUAACAGGUCUUCGGAUGCUGACGAGUGGCGAACGGGUGAGUAAUACAUCGGAACGUGCCCGAUCGUGGGGGAUAACGAAGCGAAAGCUUUGCUAAUACCGCAUAAGAUCUACGGAUGAAAGCAGGGGACCGCAAGGCCUUGCGCGAACGGAGCGGCUGAUGGCAGAUUAGGUAGUUGGUGGGAUAAAAGCUUACCAAGCCGACGAUCUGUAGCUGGUCUGAGAGGACGACCAGCCACACUGGGACUGAAACACGGCCCAGACUCCUACGGGAGGCAGCAGUGGGGAAUUUUGGACAAUGGGCGAAAGCCUGAUCCAGCCAUGCCGCGUGCAGGAUGAAGGCCUUCGGGUUGUAAACUGCUUUUGUACGGAACGAAAAGACUCUUUCUAAUAAAGAGGGUCCAUGACGGUACCGUAAGAAUAAGCACCGGCUAACUACGUGCCAGCAGCCGCCGUAA